Molecule: ribosomal RNA, 242 nt
Filed under: uncultured bacterium
Lineage: Bacteria
Description: partial 16S ribosomal RNA
Rfam family: Bacterial small subunit ribosomal RNA
Source: RNAcentral
CGACCGGCGCACGGGUGAGUAACGCGUGGGUAACCUGCCUCAUACAGGGGGAUAACAGUUGGAAACGGCUGCUAAUACCGCAUAAGCGCACAGUACCGCAUGGUACGGUGUGAAAAACUCCGGUGGUAUGAGAUGGACCCGCGUCUGAUUAGGUAGUUGGUGGGGUAACGGCCUACCAAGCCGACGAUCAGUAGCCGACCUGAGAGGGUGACCGGCCACAUUGGGACUGAGACACGGCCCAA